RNAcentral lists this transfer RNA (71 nucleotides) under Ornithorhynchus anatinus (platypus). It matches the Rfam family "tRNA". Rfam says of the family: Transfer RNA (tRNA) molecules are approximately 80 nucleotides in length. Their secondary structure includes four short double-helical elements and three loops (D, anti-codon, and T loops). Lineage: Eukaryota; Metazoa; Chordata; Mammalia; Monotremata; Ornithorhynchidae. The record is from Rfam by way of RNAcentral.
AGCAGUGUGGCUUAGUGGAAGAGCACAGGCUUGGGAGUCCGAGGUCAUGGGUUCUAAUCCCAGCUCCGCCA